GUUGGCGGCGGGAGAGUAACGAGUAGAUACGUACCCAGGGGUUCGGGAUAGCCACGCGAAAGCGUGAGUAAUACCGAAUAAUGUCUCCGGACCAAAUAUUUAUAGCCCUCGGAGCGGUCUGCUUACUAUUAGCUUGUUGGUGGGGUAAAAGCCUACCAAGGCGAAGAUGGUUAGCGGGUGUGAGAGCAUGGCCCGUCUCACUGGGACUGAGACACUGCCCAGACAUCUACGGAUGGCUGCAGUCGAGAAUCUUUCCGCAAUGGACGAAAGUCUGACGGAGCGACGCCCGCGUGAUGGACGAAGGCCCCUCGGGUUUGUAAACAUCUGUCGUAGGGGAGGAAAUUUUUGACCCGAUCCCUAGGAGGAAAGCACAGGCUAAAGUUUCGUGCCAGCAGCCCGCGGGUAAUACGAAACUGUGCAAACGUUAUUUCGGGAAUCACUGGGGCUUAAAGGGGUGCGUAGGCGGGUUUAGUAGGGUCAGAUGUGGAAUGCCCCACGGCUCAACCCGUGGAAAUUGCGUUUGAAACCCACUAGUCUUGAAGGGGAUCAGAGGAGAGCGGAACUGAUGGUGGGAGCGGUGAAAUGCGUUGAUUUUUAUCAAGAACACCGGUGGGCGAAAGCGGCUCCUCUGGGAUCUUUUCUGACCGCUGAGGCACGAAAGCUAGGGAGCGAACGGGAUUAGAUACCCCCGGUAGUCCUAGCUGUA
RNAcentral lists this ribosomal RNA (706 nucleotides) under uncultured Planctomycetota bacterium. RNAcentral describes it as "bacterial SSU rRNA". It matches the Rfam family "Bacterial small subunit ribosomal RNA", at positions 94 to 804 of the family's 1533-position model. The record is from RNAcentral. Lineage: Bacteria; Pseudomonadati; Planctomycetota.